Molecule: ribosomal RNA, 333 nt
Filed under: uncultured bacterium
Lineage: Bacteria
Description: bacterial SSU rRNA
Rfam family: Bacterial small subunit ribosomal RNA
Source: RNAcentral
GAUGAACGCUGGCGGCGUGCUUAACACAUGCAAGUCGAACGAAGCACCUUAUUCUGAUUUCUUCGGAAUGAAAAAUUUGGUGACUGAGUGGCGGACGGGUGAGUAACGCGUGGGUAACCUGCCUCAUACAGGGGGAUAACAGUUAGAAACGAUAGCUAAGACCGCAUAGGUACGGACACUGCAUGGUGACCGUAUUAAAAGUGCCUCAAAGCACUGGUAGAGGAUGGACUUAUGGCGCAUUAGCUGGUUGGCGGGGUAACGGCCCACCAAGGCGACGAUGCGUAGCCGACCUGAGAGGGUGACCGGCCACACUGGGACUGAGACACGGCCCAG